Rhinopithecus roxellana (golden snub-nosed monkey) is the source of this 821-nucleotide long non-coding RNA. RefSeq lists it as uncharacterized. The record is from RefSeq and is a predicted model, not a curated record. NCBI's taxonomy places the organism in Eukaryota, Metazoa, Chordata, Mammalia, Primates, Cercopithecidae. The transcript has 3 exons.
CUUCGGUUUGCCUCCUCCCAGUGAAGUGGAUUUGCUCCCGACCAGCUUUUGGGGCGUGCCUGCUUCCUCCUCUCUGUCAGGUGAGUGAAUAGGUGUCAUUCUUCGCAGUCGUCCUCUGCCUCUAGCGUCCCGGCAUCUCCUGGUGCUUGGUCCUCUACCUGGAGUCACCUAUGCAGCGGAAUUCCGCGGGGCGGGGGCGAGGACGUGCGGGGGUCUUUAUGGCAGCCAAUCCCCGGCUGAGCGCUUGGCCAGAGUUUCUGUGAUGCUAGAAUCUGGACUGCCUGCGACCUCUACAGGACUCGGACACCAACCCUCGCUUCCUGGUGAUCUUUCAGGGCCUGCAGAGAAGCGAAGAGGUAUUGGACGUGGCCAGGGUCAAUAGUGUGAAGCCGGAAUUAGAACUGAAUUGAAAUGCCUCGGUUUUGAUAUCGCUGUGUUUAUCUUGAGGCAACUGCUUUUCCUCCUCUGGGCCUCUCAGUUUUCCAUCUAGUCUCGCUCUGUCACCCAGGCUGGAGUGAAAUGGCACAAUCUUGGCUCACUGUAACCUCCGCCACCCAGGUUCAACUGAUUCUCGUGCCUCAGCCUCCUGAGUAGCUGGGAUUACAGCUUGAGCAACUGAAUGGAUAUUGGUGCCCAUCUCAAUUAAACUCUGUUGAACCCAGCUGACAGUGAGCAGAGGAAGAACAUUUAAAUGGAGAAUCAUAGUAACGCUAAUACUUUCUUUUAUUCUUUCUUUCUUUCUUUCUUUUUUUUUUUUUUUUUUUUUGAGACAGAGUCUUGCUCUGUUGCCGAGGCCGGAGUGCAGUGGUGCAGUCUUGCUC